CAACCUGCCGCUUACUCGGGGAUAGCCUUUCGAAAGAAAGAUUAAUACCCGAUGGUAUAAAGAGUUCGCAUGUUCUCUUUAUUAAAGAAUUUCGGUAAGCGAUGGGGAUGCGUUCCAUUAGAUUGUUGGCGGGGUAACGGCCCACCAAGUCUACGAUGGAUAGGGGUUCUGAGAGUAAGGUCCCCCACAUUGGAACUGAGACACGGUCCAAACUCCUACGGGAGGCAGCAGUGAGGAAUAUUGGUCAAUGGACGAGAGUCUGAACCAGCCAAGUAGCGUGAAGGAUGACUGCCCUAUGGGUUGUAAACUUCUUUUAUAAGGGAAUAAAGUGAGGGACGUGUCCCUUUUUGUAUGUACCUUAUGAAUAAGGAUCGGCUAACUCCGUGCCAGCAGCCGCGGUAAUACGGAGGAUCCGGGCGUUAUCCGGAUUUAUUGGGUUUAAAGGGAGCGUAGAUGGAUGUUUAAGUCAGUUGUGAAAGUUUGCGGCUCAACCGUAAAAUUGCAGUUGAUACUGGAUAUCUUGAGUGCAGUUGAGGCAGGCGGAAUUCGUGGUGUAGCGGUGAAAUGCUUAGAUAUCACGAAGAACUCCGAUUG
RNAcentral lists this ribosomal RNA (594 nucleotides) under uncultured Bacteroidota bacterium. Its description in RNAcentral is "bacterial SSU rRNA". It matches the Rfam family "Bacterial small subunit ribosomal RNA", at positions 122 to 715 of the family's 1533-position model. Lineage: Bacteria; Pseudomonadati; Bacteroidota. The record is from RNAcentral.